This 515-nucleotide ribosomal RNA is filed under the name uncultured bacterium. RNAcentral describes it as "partial 16S ribosomal RNA". It matches the Rfam family "Bacterial small subunit ribosomal RNA", at positions 28 to 523 of the family's 1533-position model. The record is from RNAcentral.
GAUGAACGCUGGCGGCGUGCCUAAUACAUGCAAGUCGAGCGAAUGGAUUAAGAGCUUGCUCUUAUGAAGUUAGCGGCGGACGGGUGAGUAACACGUGGGUAACCUGCCCAUAAGACUGGGAUAACUCCGGGAAACCGGGGCUAAUACCGGAUAACAUUUUGAACCGCAUGGUUCGAAAUUGAAAGGCGGCUUCGGCUGUCACUUAUGGAUGGACCCGCGUCGCAUUAGCUAGUUGGUGAGGUAACGGCUCACCAAGGCAACGAUGCGUAGCCGACCUGAGAGGGUGACCGGCCACACUGGGCAUGGGACACGGCCCAGACUCCUACGGGAGGCAGCAGUAGGGAAUCUUCCGCAAUGGACGAAAGUCUGACGGAGCAACGCCGCGUGAGUGAUGAAGGCUUUCGGGUCGUAAAACUCUGUUGUUAGGGAAGAACAAGUGCUAGUUGAAUAAGCUGGCACCUUGACGGUACCUAACCAGAAAGCCACGGCUAACUACGUGCCAGCCGCCGCCGUAA